CCUACGGGUGGCUGCAGUGAGGAAUAUUGGUCAAUGUGCGCGAGCCUGAACCAUCCACGUAGCGUGCAGGAUGACUGCCCUACGGGUUGUAAACUUCUUUUAUCCAGGAAUAAAGUGAGGCCCGUGUGCCUUUUUGUAUGUACUUUAUGAAUAAGGAUCGGCUAACUCCGUUCCAGCCGCCGCGUUAAUACGGAGGAUCCGAGCGUUAUCCUGAUUUAUUGGGUUUAAAGGCAGCGUAGAUGGGUUGUUAAGUCAGUUGUGAACGUUUGCGGCUCAACCGUAAAAUUGCAAUUGAUACUGGCAGUCUUGAUUACAGUUGAGGUAGGCGGAAUUCGUGGUGUAGCGGUGAAAUGCUUAGAUAUCACGAAGAACUCCGAUUGCGAAGGCAGCAUACUAAACUGCCACUGACAUUGAUGCUCGAAAGUGUGGGUAUCAAACAGGAUUAGAUACCCCAGUAGUC
RNAcentral lists this ribosomal RNA (460 nucleotides) under uncultured bacterium. RNAcentral describes it as "partial 16S ribosomal RNA". It matches the Rfam family "Bacterial small subunit ribosomal RNA", at positions 338 to 795 of the family's 1533-position model. The record is from RNAcentral.